Molecule: long non-coding RNA, 152 nt
Organism: Dreissena polymorpha
Lineage: Eukaryota; Metazoa; Mollusca; Bivalvia; Myida; Dreissenidae
Exons: 2
Source: RefSeq, a predicted model, not a curated record
GUAGAACUCAUCAAGGUGCAUCUACAUAUGAAGUUUCAAAGUUGUAGGUGGAAGCACUUUGAUAUUAGAGGCAAUUUGAAGGUUUUAGCACGACGCCUAUGUUGGACGGCGGACGAGCUGGCUAUGACAAUAGCUCGGUUUUUCUCUGAAAA